Molecule: ribosomal RNA, 782 nt
Filed under: Streptomyces sp.
Lineage: Bacteria; Bacillati; Actinomycetota; Actinomycetes; Kitasatosporales; Streptomycetaceae
Description: bacterial SSU rRNA
Rfam family: Bacterial small subunit ribosomal RNA
Source: RNAcentral
UGCAGUCGACGAUGAACCACUUCGGUGGGGAUUAGUGGCGAACGGGUGAGUAACACGUGGGCAAUCUGCCCUGCACUCUGGGACAAGCCCUGGAAACGGGGUCUAAUACCGGAUACUGAACCUUGCAGGCAUCUGUGAGGGUCGAAAGCUCCGGCGGUGCAGGAUGAGCCCGCGGCCUAUCAGCUAGUUGGUGAGGUAAUGGCUCACCAAGGCGACGACGGGUAGCCGGCCUGAGAGGGCGACCGGCCACACUGGGACUGAGACACGGCCCACACUCCUACGGGAGGCAGCAGUGGGGAAUAUUGCACAAUGGGCGAAAGCCUGAUGCACCGACGCCGCGUGAGGGAUGACGGCCUUCGGGUUGUAAACCUCUUUCAUCAGGGAAGAAGCGAAAGUGACGGUACCUGCAGAAGAAGCGCCGGCUAACUACGUGCCAGCAGCCGCGGUAAUACGUAGGGCGCAAGCGUUGUCCGGAAUUAUUGGGCGUAAAGAGCUCGUAGGCGGCUUGUCGCGUCGGUUGUGAAAGCCCGGGGCUUAACCCCGGGUCUGCAGUCGAUACGGGCAGGCUAGAGUUCGGUAGGGGAGAUCGGAAUUCCUGGUGUAGCGGUGAAAUGCGCAGAUAUCAGGAGGAACACCGGUGGCGAAGGCGGAUCUCUGGGCCGAUACUGACGCUGAGGAGCGAAAGCGUGGGGAGCGAACAGGAUUAGAUACCCUGGUAGUCCACGCCGUAAACGGUGGGCACUACGUGUGGGCAACAUUCCACGUUGUCCGUGCCGCAUCUA